Molecule: ribosomal RNA, 253 nt
Filed under: uncultured bacterium
Lineage: Bacteria
Description: partial 16S ribosomal RNA
Rfam family: Bacterial small subunit ribosomal RNA
Source: RNAcentral
UACGUAGGGGGCAAGCGUUGUCCGGAAUCAUUGGGCGUAAAGCGCGUGUAGGCGGCCCGGUAAGUCCGCUGUGAAAGUCGGGGGCUCAACCCUCGAAUGCCGGUGGAUACUGUCGGACUAGAGUACGGAAGAGGCGAGUGGAAUUCCUGGUGUAGCGGUGAAAUGCGCAGAUAUCAGGAGGAACACCAAUUGCGAAGGCAGCUCGCUGGGACGUUACUGACGCUGAGACGCGAAAGCGUGGGGAGCAAACAGG